AUGGCAUCGUCCCUCAAGGCAUUGCUUGUUGAUGAUAUGGCAGUUGAACGCUUGGUUGCCUCCGCCAUGCUGCGGAAGUUUCAUUGUGAGAUCACCAUGGCGAAGAAUGGGAAAGAAGCUGUUGAUAUGUUCCUUGAGGGCAACGAGUUUGAUAUUGUUGUAUGUGAUAAGGACAUGCCCAUAAUGACCGGUCCUGAGGCAGUUGAGAAGAUCCGUGCUAUGGGAGCCACCGAUGUGAAGAUCGUCGGGGUGUCCGCUGAUGAUAACGCCAUGGAGGCGUUCAUGAGUGCCGGCGCUGAUGACUUUGUGCCCAAACCAGUGAGGCCUGAAAUUCUCGAACCUAUGAUUCAGGAGGUCAUCAAUAAAAAGAAUAAUUAG
Molecule: ribosomal RNA, 378 nt
Filed under: Triticum aestivum (bread wheat)
Lineage: Eukaryota; Viridiplantae; Streptophyta; Magnoliopsida; Poales; Poaceae
Description: partial small subunit ribosomal RNA
Source: RNAcentral